AGGUAAUUAGUUUAAAUAAACAUUUGAUUUCGACUCAAAAGCUUAUGGUUAAAAUCCAUAAUUAACCUA
Molecule: transfer RNA, 69 nt
Filed under: Raddaella batesii
Lineage: Eukaryota; Metazoa; Chordata; Actinopteri; Cyprinodontiformes; Nothobranchiidae
Description: tRNA-Arg
Rfam family: tRNA
About the family: Transfer RNA (tRNA) molecules are approximately 80 nucleotides in length.
Source: RNAcentral